Molecule: transfer RNA, 75 nt
Filed under: Thorea hispida
Lineage: Eukaryota; Rhodophyta; Florideophyceae; Thoreales; Thoreaceae
Also listed under: 1 other name
Description: tRNA-Phe
Rfam family: tRNA
About the family: Transfer RNA (tRNA) molecules are approximately 80 nucleotides in length. Their secondary structure includes four short double-helical elements and three loops (D, anti-codon, and T loops).
Source: RNAcentral
UGCCGAGAUAGCUCAGUUGGUAGAGCAGUGGACUGAAAAUCCUCGUGUCACCAGUUCAAAUCUGGUUCUUGGCAU